GGGUAGUUAGCUUAGUGGUAGAGUAUAUGCUUUACAAGCACAUAAGUAUUGGUUCGAUUCCAAUACUGCCCA
Transfer RNA from Toxoplasma gondii VEG, 72 nucleotides. It matches the Rfam family "tRNA". From Rfam's summary of the family: Transfer RNA (tRNA) molecules are approximately 80 nucleotides in length. The record is from Rfam. Lineage: Eukaryota; Apicomplexa; Conoidasida; Eucoccidiorida; Sarcocystidae.